RNAcentral lists this unclassified non-coding RNA (256 nucleotides) under Myrmecridium phragmitis. Its description in RNAcentral is "partial contains 5.8S ribosomal RNA, internal transcribed spacer 2, and large subunit ribosomal RNA". Lineage: Eukaryota; Fungi; Ascomycota; Sordariomycetes; Myrmecridiales; Myrmecridiaceae. The record is from RNAcentral.
CGCACAUUGCGCCCUCUAGUAUUCUGGUGGGCAUGCCUGUUCGAGCGUCGUUAACACCCCUCAAGCCUAGCUUGGUGUUGGGGCCCUGUAUUCCGGUACAGGCCCUCAAAACUAGUGGCAGGACCGCAGUGGACCUGGGCGUAGUAACACUACCCGCCUCGGGCUCCGCCGCGUGGCCUGCCGUAAAGCAGGUCGCCUCUGGCGACUGUAUCAUCAAGUUGACCUCGGAUCAGGUAGGAAUACCCGCUGAACUUAA